CAGAACGACGCUGGCGGCGCGUUUAAGCAUGCAAGUCGAGCGGCAAGGGCCUUCGGGCCCCUAGAGCGGCGGACGGGUGAGUAACACGUGGACAAUCUGCCCCCCGGCCCGGGAUAGCCCAGGGAAACCUGGAUUAAUACCGGAUGAGACGGGACCCGCGAUGGCGGGAUCCGGGAAAGGCGCUGCGGCGCCGCCGGGGGAUGAGUCUGCGUCCCAUUAGCUAGACGGCGGGGUAACGGCCCACCGUGGCGACGAUGGGUAGCCGGCCUGAGAGGGUGGACGGCCACAUUGGAACUGAGACACGGUCCAGACUCCUACGGGAGGCAGCAGCUAAGAAUCUUCCGCAAUGGGCGAAAGCCUGACGGAGCGGAACCGCCGCGUGAACGAAGAAGGCCGUGAGGUUGUAAAGUUCUUUUCGGGAGGGGGAACAACCGUGGCAGGGAAUGGCCGCGGGAUGACGUGAAUCCCGGAAUAAGCCCCGGUUAACUACGUGCCAGCCGCAGC
Molecule: ribosomal RNA, 504 nt
Filed under: uncultured bacterium
Lineage: Bacteria
Description: bacterial SSU rRNA
Rfam family: Bacterial small subunit ribosomal RNA
Source: RNAcentral